GCACAGUUCCUUUGUUACAAGGUGGUCCAUUUCGAUGUCCUCCUGCUGUUGUGGGGCUUGUCCUUUAUAUUGGUGGGGGGCUGGCUCCUGGUCCGUUGCUUGCGCUUGUUUAUAUUAUGGUGACUGCUGAUUGGCUGUGGGUGGGGAGCUCGGGCCAGGACCGCUCUCCGGACACAUGCGCGGCCCGGGGCAGCCUCGGGACUGAGUUCUUGGCAACUCACAUUGAGUGCUGACGAAGCGCAAAUGUGAUUAGCGCCGGAUCUUGUGAUUUGAUCGGGACAUAUACUUAACAGCGGACAGCUCUAGCCAUGACCAUGCCCCAGAAGAAGCCUCCCUGAGUGGUGAAACGUCGGGCAGUGGCGUCCUGCACUCGGUCUGCAUUGUCUGAUGAGCGAAUCGAAGUUGACGAACCUGAAUUCGUAACGAAUUUCAUGAAAAAUUUGAAUAUCACCGCGAUUCUAUUGUGCGAAUCGCUUCAUUUAACUCCAUUUUACAGCGUUCCAGGCUAUUGGGGACCUAAGAUGGCGGAUCCACAUAUGCCUGCUGGUAUUUAUAUGCACACAGAGGUAUCUAAAGAAAGAAUCCAAGGAACAAUGGCUUUUUCCGAGUGGUCCAAAAAAUUAUCCUUUUUGGAAGGAACAAGUUUUGUGCCUAGAAAGUGAAGAAGCAAAAUGUGAAAAAUGAUUCCCGUAAUGUGGCAAAGCAACAGGACUGGCAUCCUAGAAAGUGCACAAAAGUGACACAAAACCCUCUCUACUUUUUCACAGUGUAAUACAAAACAAAACUGCCACAAUUAACUUCCCAUCAAACUGAUUUUGUAGAACAAAUGCAGGAUGCUUUCUGCAGUGCUGCGUUACUACAAUUAUUAUAUAUGUGUGGUUCUACUCCUUAGUGUUCCUCAGAGAGAUCAUAUCCUAACACAUGCUCUCUUAAAAAUGGCUCAAGAAGCUAUGUGCAUAGACUUUUAUACUGGUUACGACAUCACCCCAAUAUUGCCUUCUGAUUGUCUGGGACAGUUUCUUGAAUAGCAUUAUGGGAUCCUUUUAGGUCAUGUGAUACUGUAGCAGGUUCUGUCGAACCGAGGUUUGAGUUCUAGCCAAAUUGAACUAUUAGCAAAGUUCUGACUGAACUCUGGUUCUACAGGUUUAUUUAUUUCAUUUCUAGUUGAGACAAAAGGUAGAAAGUGCUUUAAUUCAAAAACUUUUUAUAUGUUGUACAUCUUGGCAAAACAUUAACCUUUCUAAUAUACUUCAUAAGAAAAUGUUAUUUCCUUUUUUAUUGAAAUCAAGGCUUAUAAAAUCAUUACUUUCUCCAAGCUGAAGCACAGACAUAGACAAAGUCCAGUAUGUGAGGGUGGGCUAGUACUCCUCUGUGCUCUCUCUCCUGUCUGAGAGGACUCCUCUGCACUCUCUCCUGUCUGAUAGUACUCCUCUGUGCUCUCUCCUGUCUGAAAGUACUUCUCUGUGCUCUCUCCUGUCUGAUAGGACUCCUCUGCACUCUCUCCUGUCUGAUAGUACUCCUCUGUGCUCUCUCCUGUCUGAUAGUACUCCUCUGUGCUCUCUCAUGUCUGAUAGUACUCUUCUGUGCUCUAU
Hyla sarda is the source of this 1592-nucleotide RNA transcript. It is a transcript of the gene named thioredoxin-like, with no coding region annotated. Lineage: Eukaryota; Metazoa; Chordata; Amphibia; Anura; Hylidae. The transcript has 3 exons. The record is from RefSeq and is a predicted model, not a curated record.